Molecule: ribosomal RNA, 253 nt
Filed under: uncultured bacterium
Lineage: Bacteria
Description: partial 16S ribosomal RNA
Rfam family: Bacterial small subunit ribosomal RNA
Source: RNAcentral
UACGGGGGGGGCAAGCGUUGUUCGGAAUUACUGGGCGUAAAGGGCUCGUAGGCGGCCAACUAAGUCAGACGUGAAAUCCCUCGGCUUAACCGGGGAAUGGCGUCCGAUACUGGAUGGCUUGAGUUUGGGAGAGGGAUGCGGAAUUCCAGGUGUAGCGGUGAAAUGCGUAGAUAUCUGGAGGAACACCGGUGGCGAAGGCGGCAUCCUGGACCAACACUGACGCUGAGGAGCGAAAGCCAGGGGAGCAAACGGG